AUGUAUGUGCAUGUAGUCCCAGAAGUUAUUGAGAGAGGUAGUGCUCAGGAGCUUGAAAAGCAAAUAAUGUUAAAAGACGUUCCCAAACCAGACGUUGUCAUUGCUGCAGUUACAGAUGUGAUUGAGAGUGAAGUUGUGACACAACUUGAUCCCUCUUUACAGAUAGCAGAGGAUCAGAAAACAGAGAGUAUCCCACAAUAUGUUGGGGUUAAGCAGGAAGACUGUAUACCUGAAGUCGUAGAUGAUUUACAAACUAUAACAGCAGUUUUUGUAUCCCCUGUAAAUGAGGAAGCAAGUAAUGUUCAGGACCUAGAGAAGACUGUAUUUACUGAAGAACCCCCAGCACUGUGUGUAGACAAGGUGUUAGUUACAAAUGAACCCAAACAUGAAGAGCAGCUCAGUGCAGUGCAAGUCAGUGUUGAGAGAGAAAAAGAAAGUGAAAUUCCAGGCGCUGAGACAAAAACUGCUGCAGUUGAGCACGCUGUAGUGGCACAAGUAAUCAUAUGUAAUCUCAAAGAUGUCUCAGUUGCAAUACCCAAUGUUUUGGUAGAGAAAACAUCAGCCAUUACUGAACCCUUGAUAGGUAAAGUGACAAGUCAGCUAGAGUUCAAGAAGGAAGUGGAGACUGCCACAUCCUUAGUGAGAGAUGGUGCUGAGACAGCAGAGGAAGGCAGCGUGGUGUUGAUGAUGCAUGUGCCAUCUGUAGAGUUUGAGGACAAUCACAGAAUUCAAGUGCAAGUGGUCGACGUCCAUAUUAAAUCAGCCCAGACAAUUUGGGAUACAGUGCUAGAGGUGGCGGUAACAGAAGUCAGAGAAGUCAUAGAUGUUUGUCAUGAAACGGUUAAAAAAGUAGACAAUUUCUCUGCAACUCCAGAGAUUGAAGAGGAUUUAACGACUGAGGAAUCCAAGGUGACCAUUCAAGAAGUUAUUCAACACGUGAAGGAACACGUACCACAGACAGUACCUGAACCAGUGGUGGUCAACUUGGAACAAGAAGGUGUAAAACAGCCAGAUGCUGUGACAGAAGUGAUCGAGAUGGUUCAAAGUGGAUCAGAUGAAGUAGAGGAUCCAAAAGCGACGGUGGAUAGAAGUGAAAACUUCAGGGAAAGACGAGAAGAAGUCUCCAAUGAUGUCUGUGCAACUGAUCAGCAAGUGUCCGAGGAUCUCAUGCAAGAUGUUUCAGGAUGUUUAGAUCCCUACAUCUAUAAUCAAAAAGAUGAUUUGAAGGAAAGUAAAGCUGAACUGGAACAAUCAGAAGCAGAUGUCGCAGGAGAAGAGGUCAAAUCAAAUCAAAUUAUUCAUGAAAGAACACAAAAUCCGAUUGUAACACCUAGUAACGCUGGAUCAGUCGCCCACCAGAACUCUGGGAUUAUCCCGUCAACAUGUAACGUAGAGUCCCCUUCAAGUGUUUCCAUUCAAGUCAAACUCAACAUCCAGUUAAGGCAAGCAAGUGCAGCAGCUCUGCCACCACCUGCAACAGACAUGUCGGAGAUCAAAGUUCAGACAGUCGGGAAAGUUGAACCUGUAAAUCCGAUACAGAGAGCCGACAGCCAGAAACAGAUGGAGCUAACGGAGGUCGCUGAUCACGCAACAGAAACCCCAGAACCAGAGCUAAACUCAGAUUCUGACAGAGCAGGCAUUCAACCUGUACGGCCGGACAUCAGCAUCCAAGCAAUGGAAACAGUAGAACAAAUCAAAUCAACAGAGAGAGCAGCCUCCAGUGUCCAGGCAGCAGAGUCAAUACAACCAGUGAGGCAAGCAGAAAGAAGAGCAGCGAGUCAGACACUGAUCUGUAAACCUUGUGAGCCGGCACAGGAGCCAGUUCAACUGAAGGAGGAACAUGAGCAGGACGUGUGGAUGGAUGCGAAGGAAGACCUUUACACUCGAGAGGAACCCAAGGUGUCCCCUCAUGAGGUGGAGGAACAUCUUGAGCCUCGGGCAGAAAGAGAGCAAGAGGAGAAGGUCGGACUUGAACACGAGUUUGAAAUGACUCCUAAUUCAAACACGGAGGAGGAACGUAAACAGGAAAUGUACAAAUCCACAGAAACAUGUGAGCUGGAUAGUGACGGGGAGGACUUUGCUGUGGCGCUCGAGCAUCCUGAAUCUGAAAGUGCGAGCGUCAGUGACCGGUUGGACGGCUGAGAAGGAAGUCCGAAGGAAGCGAGCAGAACACGACAGGAAACAGCUAUACAAAUAUAAGUGUUCGAUUAUUUUAUUAUUAUUAUAAAGUUUGUGAUUAAUGAGAGAAGCAUGAACUGGAGAAGUGCUGGGGGGGGGGGGCUAAUGCUACUGCAGGUUUCAUUACUAAUCUUUCAAUUCUAAAUCCUGUUUUUGCAAAGAUUCAUCAGAUGAAUGUAAACGUCUCAGAUUGUGAGUUUUAAAAACACGACGUCAUCAUGUGACCCUCUCCGUCACAUGAUGACGUCACAUGACGUUCUUUCCUUGUCUACGUUGGUAUCUGGAGAUUUCACAGCCUUUACUUUGUUCAUUAAGUGUUUGUCACGUUAAUACUCGAGUGCUGCAUCAGGUUACUCGUGCUCGUGUUUAUUCUCUUGUACAUAAAGAAAGUUGCUUAGAGAAGCAGAAACUUUCUCAUUUUUAAUCUACAAGAAUUUCUACUGUGUGAAGUUUUUAGAUUAGAGCCUGAAGAGAGCAUGUUUAAAAUAAUCAUUUACACAAAUACUUAUUUUCAGGUUAAAUUAAUCUUCACAUUUAUUAUUAAUUACAUUAUAAUCAGCAAAGCCUUAAAUACUGAGGCAGCCCCCCCCCCCAGCAGCUGUUUGUCCUUUUCUCCAACAUGUUCUGAUUUAUCUGUGAUGUUAACGACAUGAAGGAAUGUUAACGAAUUAACGAUGUUAACGAAUCAAAUAUUUUAUUUGAAUAAAUUCAUAUCUGUAUAUUUCAAAUAUUUCUUGUGUUGAAAAUUUUUUCUUGAAUAUUGAAACU
Molecule: long non-coding RNA, 2946 nt
Organism: Cottoperca gobio
Lineage: Eukaryota; Metazoa; Chordata; Actinopteri; Perciformes; Bovichtidae
Product: cytadherence high molecular weight protein 1-like
Source: Ensembl